Sapajus apella (tufted capuchin) is the source of this 5683-nucleotide RNA transcript. It is a transcript of the gene named growth factor receptor bound protein 10, with no coding region annotated. The record is from RefSeq and is a predicted model, not a curated record. Lineage: Eukaryota; Metazoa; Chordata; Mammalia; Primates; Cebidae. The transcript has 17 exons.
UGUGGUGUGUAUGUGGGGUGUGUGUGGUGUGGGGUGUGUGUGUGAAGUGAUAGCAGAUGCUUAGUAUGUAUAGGAUCUGUUCUUUCCCUCGCUGACUCUCGGUUGAAAUAGAACCCUACUUUGUCCUCGAUGUUCAGUAACGUUACGCCUGUGGCUUCCAGAAAGAGCCUGUGGCUUCCAGAAAGAGCCUCUCCCUUCCUGGUUCUUGCUCUGACAUUUUGAGGACAUUUUGGGGAGGGGGUGAGACGACAGUGACCGUGGAAGAGCAGAACUGGCCGGCCCUGCAGGUGGGAGGCUGCUCCUGCUGGCGGCAUCUCCGACUUGCCGCGGCCGCGAUGUCUCCCGCCCCGCUCCGAUUGCAGCGUAGCGGGUAGACAUGGAGGGCUUUCGGCAUCGUGAGAGUGGCCAGUGUGCGCGUCCUUGCCCAUCAGGCGGGGGGGCUGUGGGGGAGGAGAGGAGGCAGUGGAGGGAACAAGGGGUUCUUCAGGGUUGCCAUGAGAACCAGGGAUCCGGGGAUUGGGCAGCAGAGGGCCCCCGCCGGGCGUUGGGGCGUGGCCGCGUCACAUGGGUUUGGUCCUGGGAUUCCUGUUGUGCUCUAGGACCGGGCACUGCUCCGCCGUCCUCCCGCUCCUCGGGAGCGCCCGGUCCCUCGGCGGCUGAAGAUUGCGGCUGGCUCCGCGGAGGGGCCUCCGGGCACCCGCGCGGUGAUGGCGCUGGGAGCCCCCAGACGCACUCGGGCGGCGGCGCGGCAUCCCACCCUCGCCCGGAUGGCGUCCCCGGAGGCGGCGCUGGCCCGCUUUCCGUGCUAGCGCGUUCGCCUGGCUCGCGGCGGCCUCGGGCCCGGGUCGGCUUUCAGCGCCGCAGGCCCCUGUCCGGGGCGGAGCCGUGGAGGAGCGGCCCGCCCGGCUCCCGGCGCUGUCCAUGCGGAGCGCUGUCCACGCGCCGGGCACUGCGGGGGCCGGGCCCCGAAGCCCUCCCAGGGCCGGCGGCGCGCACGCAGCGACCCCGUGCGGCGGGUGCUGCCGCCCGCUCUCCAGGUACUCAGGACAAAGUGGAGCAGACACCUCGCAGUCAACAAGCGCCGGCAGGACCAGGGCUCCCUGCACAGCCUGACCGACUCGUGAAUCGCCAGGAGGAUGAUGUGGACCUGGAAGCCCUGGUGAACGAUAUGAACGCAUCCCUGGAGAGCAUGCAGUCGGACACAGUGCCCCUCCUGCAGAAUGGCCAGCAUGCCCGCAGCCAGCCUCGGGCCUCGGGCACUCGCUCUGUCCAGCCUCAGGCGUCCCCGAGGCAGAGGGUGCAGCGCUCCCAGCCCGUACACAUCCUCGCUGUCAGACGCCUUCAGGAGGAAGACCAGCAGUUUAGAACCUCGUCUCUGCCGGCCAUCCCCAAUCCUUUUCCCGAACUCUGCGGCCCUGGGAGCCCCCCUGUGCUCACGCCAGGUUCUUUACCUCCGAGCCAGGCCGCUGCAAAGCAGGAUGUUAAAGUCUUUAGUGAAGAUGGGACGAGCAAAGUGGUGGAGAUUCUAGCAGACAUGACGGCCAGGGACCUGUGCCAGCUGCUGGUUUACAAAAGUCACUGUGUGGAUGACAACAGCUGGACGCUCGUGGAGCACCACCCGCACCUGGGAUUAGAGAGGUGCUUGGAAGACCAUGAGCUGGUGGUGCAGGUGGAGAGUACCAUGGCCAGUGAGAGUAAAUUUCUAUUCAGGAAGAAUUAUGCAAAAUACGAGUUCUUUAAAAAUCCAGUGAACUUCUUCCCAGAACAGAUGGUUACAUGGUGCCAGCAGUCAAAUGGCAGUCAGAGUCAGCUUUUGCAGAAUUUUCUGAACUCCAGUAGCUGUCCUGAAAUUCAAGGAUUUUUGCAUGUGAAAGAGCUGGGAAAGAAAUCAUGGAAAAAGCUCUAUGUGUGUUUACGGAGAUCUGGCCUUUAUUGCUCCACAAAGGGAACUUCAAAGGAACCCAGACACCUGCAGCUGCUGGCAGACCUGGAGGACAGCAACAUCUUCUACUUGAUCGCCGGCAGGAAGCAGUACAGUGCCCCCACAGACUACGGGCUCUGCAUAAAGCCAAACAAAGUCAGGAACGAAACUAAAGAGCUGAGAUUGCUCUGUGCCGAGGAUGAGCAAACCAGGACAUGCUGGAUGACGGCGUUCAGACUCCUCAAGUAUGGAAUGCUCCUUUACCAGAACUACCGAAUCCCUCAGCAGAGGAAGGCUUUGCUGUCCCCGUUCUCAACGCCAGUGCGCAGUGUCUCCGAGAACUCCCUUGUGGCAAUGGAUUUUUCUGGGCAAACAGGACGCGUGAUAGAGAAUCCGGCAGAGGCCCAGAGUGCUGCCCUGGAGGAGGGCCACGCCUGGAGGAAGCGAAGCACACGGAUGAACAUCCUAGGUAGCCAAAGUCCCCUCCACCCUUCUACCCUAAGUACAGUGAUUCACAGGACACAGCACUGGUUUCACGGGAGGAUCUCCAGGGAGGAAUCCCACAGGAUCAUUAAACAGCAAGGGCUCGUGGAUGGCAAAAGAAAAGAUGUCUUCAUCCUAAAUCUUCUCUCCCAGCAUGCUUUUUCUUCUCCGUGACAGCCAGAGUAAUCCAAAGGCAUUUGUACUCACACUGUGUCAUCACCAGAAAAUUAAAAAUUUCCAGAUCUUACCUUGCGAGGAUGACGGGCAGACGUUCUUCAGCCUGGAUGACGGGAACACCAAAUUCUCUGACCUGAUCCAGCUGGUCGACUUUUACCAGCUGAACAAAGGAGUCCUGCCUUGCAAACUCAAGCACCACUGCAUCCGAGUGGCCUUAUGACCGCAGACGUCCUCUCGGCUGAAGACUGGAGGAAGUGAACACUGGAGCGAAGAAGCGGUCUGUGAAUUGGUUAAGAUCACACGUCGAUUCUGCACCGGGGGACCCAGAGCGAGAUGGGUUCAUUCGGUGCCAGCCGAUCAAGAUUGACUAGUUUGUUGGACUUAGACGACGAUUUGCUGCUGUGAACCCAGCAGAAUCACCUCCCUCUGCAUUGGCCAAAUUGGGGAGGGCAUGGAAGAUCCAGCGCAAAUUUGAGAAUAAACUGGAAUGAUCACCUUGGCUUGGGCCGCUUAGGAGCAAGAACCGGAGAGAAGUGAUUGGAAAUGAACUCUUGCCCUGGAAUAAUCUUGACAAUUAAAACUGAUAUGUUUACUUUUUUUGUAUUGAUCACUUUUUUGCACUCCUUCUUUGUUUUCAAUAUUGUAUUCAGCCUAUGGUAGGAGGGGAUGUGGCUUUUCAACUCACAUAAUACAGAAAGAGUUUUGAACGGGCAGACUUCAAAGUGAAUAUGGGUCCCCAAAUGUUCCCAGAGGGUCCUCCUCUGCCAACUGCCACGGUGUGGAUUCAGCUCCCAAAUGACAAACCCAGCCCUUCCCACUAUACUUGAAAAGCUUUUUUGUCAAAAUAAAAGGUGUCACUGUGGUAGGCAUUUGGCAUGUUUUGUGGACUCAGUCAAGCAACCACAGUCUGUUAAUCAUUUCUCUAUGCUCAGAUGUCAGACCCUCUUGUUAUUAGCGUGUCUUGUUCUGCACAGUGGCAGGAGACUUUACUCCUUUGGAAAAUUCACUGUUCCACAAACGGCAGGCUGAGCGGCCUCGCCUCUAGAUUGAUGUGGGCCAGCCUCCUUGAGACACACCUGGCGCCCGUCAUCGGCCAGCGGUGGAUGCUGCUUAAUCCACCUGGGUACUUUUAGCCUUGCGUUUCCACAGUCUUCAGCCUGUUCUAGAACGAUCACUGCCUUACCCCUGCUGCUGCAGUGGUGUGAGUCGUUUCACAGCUGAUGUCCCUCGGGGGAUUAAAGGAUCUAAAGAGAAAAUGGCACCUGGUUGGCUUCGUGCUGUGUCUCGUGGGUUUCCAUGGUGAUAAAGACGAGGAAGCAUUGCAGAGGGCACAGGCACAGCCUGACAUUUAAAGAUCUUUGCUUGCAGCCCUCCGUCCUGCAGAAACCCCAUAAGCCAGCGAAUGCAGAGCAGCCAGAGGCUCCUCCUCUGCCGGCUUAGGGUCAGAAGUACCUCACAGUGGUUGUGGACAUGGAAGAGUUUUGUCAACACAACACUUGCUUCCCGCUCCGGGAAAUGAGUCAGACGGUGGCUGGAGUUGUCACUUGGUCCCCUCCACCCCUCGGGUGGCCCCCUUUGCCACGUCCCCUUAGCUUAGUGUUCAGGUGUGAGAGUGGCCAUUUCCAUACCUUUGAUCCCUGCAAAGCGGAAAGGACUCUUGACAAGCAACAGACUCCUGUGGCGAGCAGAAUGAUUUCCUUUUUCAAGACAGCACCUGCCUGGCUUCUCUGAAUCUGUGCUAGCCACGAUAUUGCCCCACAUCCGCCCCACUGAAGUGCUCCCGAAAGAACGGCAUUUCUCUGCUUCUCAGUCAAUCCCCAUAGCCUAGAGCAGUGUCACGAGCUUCAGUAAGGCCAGUGAGCUGGAAGUCAGUCUACAGUAUAGUAACACUGUAUUUCAGUUUACAGACCACGCUCUAGUUGUUCUCCAUGAAAGGUCUACUUAUACAAAUGCGUUUUUUAGCAGAACACGUUUUUAACCAUCAGUGCUCAAUUGCCUUUUCUUCCUUUUGCAGCCAGUUAACCUUUCGAACUAUUGACAGUGAGAUCAUUCUCGCAUCCACCCCUGGCGGCACGCUUCACUGUAGGGACAGACGUUGCGGUUACACCACGAUUCCUUCUUUCUCUUCACUGGCUCGAGGUAAACCCUUUCCAAGGAAAAGCAACUCUAGGAUUUCUUUCGUCUGUGUACGUAGACCAGUCCCAUAAGUGUAUAAUCUCUCUUUCACGCCUCUCUCCAGUAGACAGCUUGUAUUUGCGGUAUUUCAUAUUUACAAAUAAGCGUUUAUUUAGAAGGAGAACAAAAGCUUGACUCUGAUUCACAGUUUUGUAUGUAGCUGGUUUGACGUAGUCUUUUGUAUUUUCGCUGCCGAAGUGAAUUGUUGGAGAAUGUAAACCGCCUUGGUGCGGCGGCAGAUUUCCUAAGGCUCCAGCUCGCUGGCCCCGUGCUGGGCAGCUGGGAAUUCCACCUGAGAACAAGUCCCGCAAACCAGGGACGGAAGGACAUCUGACUUUUAUUUUUGUAUUUAAUUGACAUGAAUGUAAAGGGGACAGCUCAGGGUUGUUUUGGAGCCUGUUGACUUUGUAUCUCUGCCUGUGAUUUUCUUUUCUAAAUGAAACUCCAUGUAGCAACCGGAACGAAGUUGAGAAGGAAAAUGCCAAAUGCUUUGGUUAUUAGAGUUUAAUAGGUAAGCUCUGUUACACUAGAUGUUAGAGUUCCAGAAUGUUCUUUUGUUUGCUAAACCUUGAAGAAACAUGUGCCUCAGCCUAGAUGUUUUGUCUUCUCUUUUCUGCACUUACUAACUGACAGUGUGACCGAUCUCUGCGCCUUCCCGGGGGUGGGCGAGCUGGCGGUAGAUUUGUGAUGUCACAGUGCGAACUGCAGUGACUGUAAAAUGGCCUGGCGUGUGUAAACGUUUUCAGGGAAUGCAGAAGGUAUUAAUGAAGAGACAAAACCUUUAUUCCAUGUGCUUUGCAUCAUUCUGUACAUAGCUCUUUGGCUCGUGAACCUAAUUGUAAACUUUCAGGUAUUUUUGUACAAAUAAGGGACUGAUGUUAUGUUUCUUGUAAUUAGAAAUAAACAUUAAUACAGUGUUCUUCAUUU